UCAACAGACAAAAACUCACUUGAAGUCGUAUCCUCUCUUAAACCCUCAUUUUCACCAGAACCAUCCACACCCUCAAUUUCAAGCUGCUUCACAGAUCCCUCAUCCAAAAUCACCUUCAAACCCUUAUCACCAUCACCAAGCGGCUCCUUCCACUCCCCCUGUUCCUCCUUCAAAACCCUAACCUCCGAAUCCCCCAUGACAUCUUUUUCAUCAUUAUCAUUCUCACGCACGUUCUGAACACUGUCAGGCAUAGAAAACUCCGAAGAAUCCACAGAAGGGGCAUCAUUAAAAUCCUCUUCAGCAGGUUGCUCUACGGUUUCCUCAGCUACAACAGGCUUCUCUGACGCCGUUUCAAACCCCUCAUCUCCACUCAAAAACUCCCCAUUCUCAGACUCACCAUCACUAACACCACCACCACCACCAGUACCGUUAAUUUUGCUAUUAUUAUCACCCUCCAAUCCCAAAUUCUUCACUGAAUUAUCGUAAUCGCUAUUGUUAUUAUUACUAUCGUAGGAAAGGGGAGAAGAUGAAAAACCUGACUGAUACGACAUCGUUUCUGGAGCAGAAGUCUUGUAAGAGUCCAU
This 584-nucleotide long non-coding RNA is filed under the name Citrus sinensis (sweet orange). RNAcentral describes it as "long non-coding RNA (CSIN_LNC002400)". Lineage: Eukaryota; Viridiplantae; Streptophyta; Magnoliopsida; Sapindales; Rutaceae. The record is from RNAcentral.